AGUUCAUCAUGGUUCUGAGAAAGCAACUUCCCCUUGCUCUGUCUGAAAGAUAGUUUACUCAUGGUUUGUCAUCGGAGGACCUGAAGGAAGAAGAAAGAGAAGAUUGGGAGAGGACAGAAGAGCGAGAGGAUGUGGAGAGAAAGGGUGACAUGCGACCAAGAAGACUGAUAGUCAGCCGGGUGCGAUGGCUCACGCCUGUAAUCCUGGCACUUUGGGAGGCCAAGAUACACCAAAAUGAAGACUGCCACCAACAUCUACAUUUUCAACCUUGCUCUGGCAGAUGCCUUAGCCACCAGUACCCUGCCCUUCCAGAGUGUGAAUUACCUAAUGGGAACAUGGCCAUUUGGAACCAUCCUUUGCAAGAUAGUGAUCUCCAUAGAUUACUAUAACAUGUUCACCAGCAUAUUCACCCUCUGCACCAUGAGUGUUGAUCGAUACAUUGCAGUCUGCCACCCUGUCAAGGCCUUAGAUUUCCGUACUCCCCGAAAUGCCAAAAUUAUCAAUGUCUGCAACUGGAUCCUCUCUUCAGCCAUUGGUCUUCCUGUAAUGUUCAUGGCUACAACAAAAUACAGGCAUGGUUCCAUAGAUUGUACACUAACAUUCUCUCAUCCAACCUGGUACUGGGAAAACCUGCUGAAGAUCUGUGUUUUCAUCUUCGCCUUCAUCAUGCCCGUGCUCAUCAUUACCGUGUGCUAUGGACUGAUGAUCUUGCGCCUCAAGAGUGUCCGCAUGCUCUCUGGCUCCAAAGAAAAGGACAGGAAUCUUCGAAGGAUCACCAGGAUGGUGCUGGUGGUGGUGGCUGUGUUCAUCGUCUGCUGGACUCCCAUUCACAUUUAUGUCAUCAUUAAAGCCUUGGUUACAAUCCCAGAAACUACGUUCCAGACUGUUUCCUGGCACUUCUGCAUUGCUCUAGGUUACACAAACAGCUGCCUCAACCCAGUCCUUUAUGCAUUUCUGGAUGAAAACUUCAAACGAUGCUUCAGAGAGUUCUGUAUCCCAACCUCUUCCAACAUUGAGCAACAAAACUCCACUCGAAUUCGUCAGAACACUAGAGACCACCCCUCCACGGCCAAUACGGUGGAUAGAACUAAUCAUCAGCUAGAAAAUCUGGAAGCAGAAACUGCUCCGU
This 1129-nucleotide small RNA is filed under the name Pan troglodytes (chimpanzee). RNAcentral describes it as "processed transcript". The record is from RNAcentral. Lineage: Eukaryota; Metazoa; Chordata; Mammalia; Primates; Hominidae.